UACGGGGGGAGCAAGCGUUGUUCGGAUUUACUGGGCGUAAAGGGCGCGUAGGCGGCCAGCACAAGUCAGUUGUGAAAUUUCCGAGCUUAACUCGGAACGGUCAACUGAUACUGUGCGGCUAGAGUGCGGAAGGGGCAACUGGAAUUCUUGGUGUAGCGGUGAAAUGCGUAGAUAUCAAGAGGAACACCUGCGGCGAAGGCGGGUUGCUGGGCCGACACUGACGCUGAUGCGCGAAAGCCAGGGGAGCGAACGGG
This 254-nucleotide ribosomal RNA is filed under the name uncultured bacterium. RNAcentral describes it as "partial 16S ribosomal RNA". It matches the Rfam family "Bacterial small subunit ribosomal RNA", at positions 524 to 776 of the family's 1533-position model. The record is from RNAcentral.